Molecule: long non-coding RNA, 208 nt
Organism: Ipomoea nil (Japanese morning glory)
Lineage: Eukaryota; Viridiplantae; Streptophyta; Magnoliopsida; Solanales; Convolvulaceae
Exons: 3
Source: RefSeq, a predicted model, not a curated record
GACGAGCAGCGAAGCUAUGGAAAUGAAGCCCUCCUUGUUCGUUCUAAAUAUUUUCCGUAUUGAUAAAAGUAAACAUCUCAAAGGAAGGAUAUGAUGAGGAGGAAGGUAGAGAAUGAUAUCAAUGAAUGAAUAAGGGCAGACAACUACAAAGAUUGGGAGGCGAUGAAAAGUUAAGAUCAGAGGCACAAAGCUAAGCAGAGAUGAUGAU